Molecule: ribosomal RNA, 253 nt
Filed under: uncultured bacterium
Lineage: Bacteria
Description: partial 16S ribosomal RNA
Rfam family: Bacterial small subunit ribosomal RNA
Source: RNAcentral
UACGUAGGGGGCAAGCGUUGUCCGGAAUUAUUGGGCGUAAAGAGCGCGUAGGCGGUCCGGUAAGUCGGUUGUGAAAGUCGGGGGCUCAACCCUCGGAUGCCGAUCGAUACUGUCGGGCUAGAGUCCGGAAGAGGCGAGUGGAAUUCCUGGUGUAGCGGUGAAAUGCGCAGACAUCAGGAGGAACACCCGUGGCGAAGGCGGCUCUCUGGGACGGUACUGACGCUGAGACGCGAAAGCGUGGGGAGCGAACAGG